AGUGAAGCACAUAAACCUGCUGAAUUUAAGCAUAUAAGUAAGUGGUGGAAAUUAAACCAAAUGGGAUUUCUUUAGUAAUUGCGAAUGAACAAGGAUAUGCUUAGCUUGACAAAUGGAGCUUUUGGCUUUGAGUUGUAUUGUGGA
This 144-nucleotide ribosomal RNA is filed under the name Alexandrium tamarense. RNAcentral describes it as "partial Eukaryotic large subunit ribosomal RNA". It matches the Rfam family "Eukaryotic large subunit ribosomal RNA", at positions 1 to 154 of the family's 3401-position model. The record is from RNAcentral. Lineage: Eukaryota; Dinophyceae; Gonyaulacales; Pyrocystaceae.